AAAUUGCACAAUGGGCGAAAGCCUGAUGCAGCCAUGCCGCGUGUGUGAAGAAGGCCUUAGGGUUGUAAAGCACUUUCAAUAGGGAAGAAAAGGUGUGUGCUAAUACCUGAUAGCUGUGACGUUACUGAUAGAGGAAGCACCGGCUAACUCCGUGCCAGCAGCCGCGGUAAUACGGACGGUGCGAGCGUUAAUCGGAAUUACUGGGCGUAAAGCGCGCGCAGGCGGUUUGUUAAGCGAGAUGUGAAAGCCCCGGGCUCAACCUGGGAACUGCAUUCUGAACUGGCCGACUAGAGUGCGAUAGAGGGAGGUGGAAUUUCAUGUGUAGCGGUGAAAUGCGUUGAGAUAUGAAAGAAUACCGGUGGCGAAGGCAGUCACCUGGGUCUACACUGACGCUCAUGUACCAAAGCGUGGGGAGCAAACAGGAUUA
Molecule: ribosomal RNA, 427 nt
Filed under: uncultured marine bacterium
Lineage: Bacteria
Description: bacterial SSU rRNA
Rfam family: Bacterial small subunit ribosomal RNA
Source: RNAcentral